RNAcentral lists this transfer RNA (75 nucleotides) under Parcubacteria group bacterium SW_4_49_11. Its description in RNAcentral is "tRNA-Gln". It matches the Rfam family "tRNA". Rfam says of the family: Transfer RNA (tRNA) molecules are approximately 80 nucleotides in length. The record is from RNAcentral.
UGCCGGGUCGUCUAAUUGGUAGGACGCCAGGUUUUGGUCCUGGUAGUUUGGGUUCGAGUCCUAACCCGGCAACAA